Molecule: ribosomal RNA, 203 nt
Filed under: uncultured bacterium
Lineage: Bacteria
Description: partial 16S ribosomal RNA
Rfam family: Bacterial small subunit ribosomal RNA
Source: RNAcentral
GUAGUCUGCAACCCGACUACAUGAAGCCGGAAUCGCUAGUAAUCGCGGAUCAGAAUGCCGCGGUGAAUACGUUCCCGGGUCUUGUACACACCGCCCGUCACACCAUGGGAGCCGGAAAUGCCCGAAGUCUGUGGCCCAACCUUAACAGGGGGGAGCAGCCGAAGGCAGGUCCGGUGACUGGGGUGAAGUCGUAACAAGGUAUC